Small nuclear RNA from Bufo bufo (common toad), 200 nucleotides. RefSeq annotates it as U2 spliceosomal RNA. The record is from RefSeq and is a predicted model, not a curated record. The transcript has a single exon. Lineage: Eukaryota; Metazoa; Chordata; Amphibia; Anura; Bufonidae.
AUAAAUUAAAGAAUAAAUAAAUCUGUUCUUAUCAGUUUAAUAUCUGAUACGUCCCCUAUCUGUGGACCAUGUAUUAAAUGGAUUUUCUGAACAGGGAGUUGGAAAAAGACUGAUGGGUUAGUUAAUUGGCUUAUCACCUGAAUGAAGUGUUCGGACCUCCACGCACCUUGGUUUUGCUUUGGGCCAGUUGUGCACACUUG